UACGUAGGUGGCAAGCGUUGUCCGGAUUUACUGGGCGUAAAGAGCGCGCAGGCGGUCGUUCAAGUCGCGUGUGAAAGCCCCCGGCUCAACUGGGGAGGGUCACGCGAUACUGAUCGACUCGAAGGCAGGAGAGGGAAGUGGAAUUCCCGGUGUAGUGGUGAAAUGCGUAGAUAUCGGGAGGAACACCGGUGGCGAAGGCGGCCCACUGGUCCGGUACUGACGCUGAGGUGCGAAAGCGUGGGGAGCAAACAGG
This 253-nucleotide ribosomal RNA is filed under the name uncultured bacterium. RNAcentral describes it as "partial 16S ribosomal RNA". It matches the Rfam family "Bacterial small subunit ribosomal RNA", at positions 524 to 776 of the family's 1533-position model. The record is from RNAcentral.